AAGAAUCUGCCUUCAACUCUGGGAUAACUCCGGGAAACCGGGGCUAAUACCGGAUAUGAGCCUUGAUCGCAUGAUCGGGGCUGGAAAGUUUUUCGGUUGAAGAUGACUUCGCGGCCUAUCAGCUUGUUGGUGAGGUAAUGGCUCACCAAGGCGACGACGGGUAGCCGGCCUGAGAGGGCGACCGGCCACACUGGGACUGAGACACGGCCCAGACUCCUACGGGAGGCAGCAGUGGGGAAUAUUGGGCAAUGGAGGAAACUCUGACCCAGCGACGCCGCGUGAGGGAUGAAGGCCUUCGGGUUGUAAACCUCUUUCAGUAGGGAAGAAGCGAAAGUGACGGUACCUACAGAAGAAGCACCGGCUAACUAUGUGCCAGCAGCCGCGGUAAUACAUAGGGUGCAAGCGUUGUCCGGAAUUAUUGGGCGUAAAGAGCUCGUAGGUGGUUCGAUACGUCGGAUGUGAAAAUCAGGGGCUCAACCCCUGACCUGCAUCCGAUACGGUCGAGCUAGAGUUUGGUAGGGGAGACUGGAAUUCCUGGUGUAGCGGUGGAAUGCGCAGAUAUCAGGAGGAACACCGAUGG
This 580-nucleotide ribosomal RNA is filed under the name uncultured Actinomycetes bacterium. Its description in RNAcentral is "bacterial SSU rRNA". It matches the Rfam family "Bacterial small subunit ribosomal RNA", at positions 120 to 715 of the family's 1533-position model. Lineage: Bacteria; Bacillati; Actinomycetota; Actinomycetes. The record is from RNAcentral.